This 174-nucleotide unclassified non-coding RNA is filed under the name uncultured Phialocephala. Its description in RNAcentral is "sequence contains ITS1". The record is from RNAcentral. Lineage: Eukaryota; Fungi; Ascomycota; Leotiomycetes; Helotiales.
CAAGGAUUUCUCGGUGACCCCUAGAGAUAGGGCUCUCCCGGGUCUCCCCACCCGUGUCUAUAUACUCUUGUUGCUUUGGUGGGCCGUGGUCUCCACUGCGGGCUCUGCUCGUACGUGCCCGCCAGAGGACCAAACUCUGAAUGUUAGUGAUGUCUGAGUACUACAUAAUAGUUA